AUGGGGGACGGUGGUGGUGGUGAUGGCGCCGCCGCCUCCUCGUCGCCGCCGGCCGCCGCGGCCGCCCCGGGCUUCUCCUACCUCGCCGUCUUCCACAACUUCCCCCUCGUCGCCGCGCUGCUCGGCUUCGCCAUCGCGCAGUCCAUCAAGUUCUUCCUCACCAGGUAUAAGGAGAAAAGAUGGGAUCCUAAGCGGCUUAUCGGCUCCGGUGGCAUGCCGUCGUCGCAUUCCGCGACCGUUACAGCAUUAUCGGUAGCCAUUGGCUUCCAAGAGGGCUUCGGCAGUGCCCUCUUUGCCACAUCAACGAUAUUCGCAAGUGUGGUGAUGUACGAUGCUUCUGGUGUCAGAUUGCAUGCUGGAAAGCAAGCAGCGGUGUUGAACCAAAUAGUCUGUGAACUACCGGCUGAACAUCCCUUGGCUGAAACAAGACCAUUGCGUGAACUUUUAGGCCAUACCCCGACCCAGGUUGUCGCCGGUGCGGUGCUUGGGUGUAUGAUAGGUAUUGCAGGGCAGAUUAUCAUUGCAGUGACAAGUGUUGUAUGA
This 543-nucleotide ribosomal RNA is filed under the name Triticum aestivum (bread wheat). RNAcentral describes it as "partial small subunit ribosomal RNA". Lineage: Eukaryota; Viridiplantae; Streptophyta; Magnoliopsida; Poales; Poaceae. The record is from RNAcentral.